RNAcentral lists this long non-coding RNA (1298 nucleotides) under Homo sapiens (human). RNAcentral describes it as "HSALNT0305617". Lineage: Eukaryota; Metazoa; Chordata; Mammalia; Primates; Hominidae. The record is from RNAcentral.
GGGGCUAGGUGUGUCUGAGCUCUGACUCUCCUUGUGUGGGUCUUUCUGUGGCUGUUGUGGGGGAUAGGGGUGAGAUGCCCAGGUUAAUGGAGUUGUGUACAUAGGAGGAUUAUGCUGCCUCUGCUGAGUCAUGCAGGUUGUCAGGGAAGUGGGGGAAAGCCGGCAGUCAUAGGCCUCACCCAGCUCCCAUGCAAACCAAAGAGCAGUUCUCAUGGAGCCUGUUUCCAGGUGGUGGGCAAGAUGGGCUUGAAAACUUGCCUCAGGCUACCUGCCUCUCAACUAUGGAAAAAAAGGGCUUGGUUCUUCCCCUGCCUGUGGAGUCUGCACAACAGAUUUGUGCCCUCCCAUGAGUUCUGGCCAGGAGGCUUCUCGCCCUGUUCAAAUUGUUACAAAGUUCAACUAUAGAUUUCUUUCUUCCUGUGGAGUUUCAACACCUGCUCCUCUGGCCACCCUCACAAUGGAUCCCUGUGGUGCCAAGCAGGAAUGGCCUGUUUGGGCACCCAGUGAGCUCCCAGGGCCUUUCUACUGCUUCCUCAAACCCUGUAUUUUGCUCAGCUCUCUAAAUGGAUUCAACUCCAGAGAAGACUAUCAAGUAGUUAGGAAAGAAAGUCAGUGAGAUGUCUCAGGCGUGACUCAGCUACGGAAACAAUAGCAAUCAGAGGACAUUUGGAGAUGAAGAAAAAAAAGAAACAAACUUCAAUACAAUGAGAAAUAUACCAGUACAUGUAUGACACUCAAGUAACAUAAUGAUCUUAAGGCUAAUUUACUACCUCCUUGUUGCCUGACAGAGACCUGGAACCAAACCCAGAACUUCACUUCCCUGUGCCAGAAGGAUUCCAGUGAGCUUUUCCCACAGGCCCUACAGUCUUCUCCAGAGUCACACUCUGUCACCCAGGGUGAAGUGCAAUGGCACAAUCUCGGCUCACCACAACCUCCACCUCCUGGGUUUAAGAGAUUCUCCUGCCUCAGCCUUCCAAGUAGCUGGGAUUACAGGCAUAUGCCACCGGGUCCGGAAUUUUGUGUAUUCACAACAACAUUUGCUGCAUUGGUACAGUGUGACAGAUACAGCACUGAGUACUGACAAACUGGGGAUAUAAUUAUUAAUGAAUAAAGGCAAAAGCAUGACACUUAAGGACAUAAUCUAGUAGACUGUAAUGUGAUGGAACUUGCUCUGUCACCCACGACUGGAGUGCAGUGGCAUUAUCAUAGCUCACUGGAGCAUCAAACUCCCAGGCUCAAGGGAUUCUUCUACCUCAGCCUCCCGAGAAGAUUAGGUAUACAUCAGCAUGCCUCCCAAG